Molecule: ribosomal RNA, 252 nt
Filed under: uncultured prokaryote
Description: partial 16S ribosomal RNA
Rfam family: Bacterial small subunit ribosomal RNA
Source: RNAcentral
AUACGUAGGUGGCGAGCGUUGUCCGGAAUCACUGGGCGUAAAGCGCGCGCAGGCGGCGAUCUACGUCUGGGGUGAAAGCCCGGGGCUCAACCUCGGGACUGCCUUGGAUACGGGAUCGCUUGAGAAUCGGAGAGGCAAGGGGAAUUCCACGUGUAGCGGUGUAAUGCGUAGAGAUGUGGAGGAACACCUGUGGCGAAGGCGCCUUGCUGGCCGAUUUCUGACGCUGAGGCGCGAAAGCGUGGGGAGCAAACA